Molecule: ribosomal RNA, 430 nt
Filed under: uncultured bacterium
Lineage: Bacteria
Description: bacterial SSU rRNA
Rfam family: Bacterial small subunit ribosomal RNA
Source: RNAcentral
AACGAACGCUGGCGGCAGGCUUAACACAUGCAAGUCGAACGCCCCGCAAGGGGAGUGGCAGACGGGUGAGUAACGCGUGGGAACGUACCUUUCAGUUCGGAAUAACUCAGGGAAACUUGUGCUAAUACCGGAUACGCCCGCAAGGGGAAAGAUUUAUCGCUGAAAGAUCGGCCCGCGUUGGAUUAGCUAGUUGGUGGGGUAAAGCCUACCAAGGCGACGAUCCAUAGCUGGUCUGAGAGGAUGAUCAGCCACACUGGGACUGAGACACGGCCCAGACUCCUACGGGAGGCAGCAGUGGGGAAUAUUGGACAAUGGGCGCAAGCCUGAUCCAGCCAUGCCGCGUGUGUGAUGAAGGCCUUAGGGUUGUAAAGCACUUUCACCGAUGAAGAUAAUGACGGUAGUCGGAGAAGAAGCCCCGGCUAACUUCGUG